AUGGGAGUUAGGGACAUUUCUGCUGGGAGCCCAUCCUGGAAGGGACAUCCUGCCGUGCAUCUUCAGUGAGCUCCUCACAGAAAAAUGUGAGCUGGUCAGAGGCAAAGAGCAGAGAGCCUAAAACACAAAGGUAAGUGACACCUGCAAUUUUACCAGAAGCUCUCAGAGCAGUGUGCAAGGCAAGAGCCAGGCAUGUGAACCCAUCAGUCUGCAGUGCUCACAAAGCUGGCGACUCAUCUGCUGCAGGAAUGUCACGGGGAACUGAAGGCAAAUCAUCCUCGGCUCUGCCAAGGGUGUCCUGCUGUCUGUCAGAGGCCAGCAACUGGAGGCAGUUCCAGUGAAAUCUCUUGCUUAGUGAGGAUGUAAAAGAUAUUCUCAGCACUGCCAAGAGUGAGAGCCUCACAGAGAGAGCAGCAGCUGAAGGGACGAAACUUUGGAGUCACUGGUGAUGGGAAGUGACUGCAUUCUGCUACAUUCACCUCUCCCUAGCCUUGGCAGAGAAGAACUGUCCUUCCACUGGAAUGGUUUUGUGGAUUACAAUUAAGGAAACCUUCAAAAUUCAACAGCUGAUCAUGGAAGAAGCCAUGGAGGGAAGACAAUAAAAUUUCAAGGGCUGUGAAGGGGAAAUCACAUGGCCACUAUGAUGAUUCGGAUCUGAUCUAUUAUUUGAACACUGUUUCCUCUGGGAAUGUAAAAUUCUAUUAAAUGAGAUGGACACAGAAGAUGUCCACAAAGAGAAAUGCUUGUAUCCCCAGCAUGUAUAAAUGCCCAGGAUGGGUGAAAUUUUGUACCAAUCUCAAGACUGGUUGCAAGAUUAGCAAGACUAGGGUUUGAACUUUUACAGUUUCUAUACCAAAAAAUGUAGAACACUAGAAGAAGCAUGAAUAUAAUAUUAUAAGAACACCAUCAGCCAGGAAGAUCUGAGUGACCACGCUCUUGUAUUCAAAAAUGCUAUGUCCAACUCAGCAUUUCCACCGCUUUCCUUGAGCCUCAGGGAAACCUGGCCUGGACCUUAGGUAUAAGUAUGAAAAAUGUAUUUACACAGACUACAGAGUAUUUUACAUGGUGUGAGCUUAUUGGUUCUUGUAAUCCCAAAAAUAAUUUAAUGAAUUCUUUUUCUUUAAGAAUACUUGUGUACAGUACGCUAUUUACAAACAUUAUGCCAAAAUAACCAACCCCUUAGAAUGAAGGAAAACCCAGCUGUUCUGAAGUCUAAGAAAUAUCCUAGCAAUAGUCUUAGUUUUCUUUCCAACUUCAAUUUUUAUUUUAACAUCAAUUAUACUCAUUAUCAAGCCACUGACUUACUUUUUUUCCAGAACAAAACCAGACACACGUUCCCAAUCCUACAGUCACUGUGGAACACUUUUCAAUUAGCAGAAAGGACUUUGGAAGAGUUUCUUAGGUCUGCACUACAUCCUCUUUCACUAGAGUAUUGGUAAGAGACAUUCACACAAUAACCAAAGUGAUGCCCAACUCUUUCUCCAUUGCUGAACAGGAAUGGUACUUCCACAGAACAGAAAAACCCUCAGUUAUUUCUGUAAAUAGUUGUAUGGGCUAUUUGUCAGAAUCUAGCCCCAAACAGUUGCAGUUACUUAUCUGAAGCUCUAUAAUGCUCAGAUUAAGCUUCUGACACAAGGAGGCAUAAUCUCCACAGAUGGUGGAGAAGGAAUAGCCCUUACACCUAACUUUGUUGGAAAAAAUAGGACUGUUGUGCGAGAAACCAAAACUGAUGACCAAGAUACUUAAUUUUCAUCCUGCUGAAUCCUGUCAACUCAAUCCUCAUCACACUUGUUUGCCUUCACGUGCAAAUAGUUUGUUUUUAACAACUGAUGAGUGCCCAAGUAUACAAACUGAUACUUAGCAGCAGUUGCACUGCAACACUAUUGAAUAUUUACACCCGAUUUGCAAUCAUCUGGCAACUGAAAUGCAAUUAACAACUUUGGUUUUAUGUCCCCACCAGAGUUGGCUUGCACAUCCAUCACAAAUGCAUUAAUUUACUCUAAAUUUGCUCUCUGGAUUUAACUCAUUUAAAUGAAGAAAUCAUAUUCUUUCUCAGCUCCUGUUAGCCAUGAUCUCUUCUGCCUAUCAACCUAGAGGGUCUUGUGAUAACCUUUUUGUUAGUUAUUGAUAGUCUAAAAUCACACUGGACUUUGUCAUGACAUUAUAGCCAAUUCUGUUUAUUUUGAGCCUGUAUCAGUGUAAUACCAGAAGAGAGGAAAGAGAUUCCAGAUAGUGGUGAAGUAGCUAUUAAAAACUCUCUGGAAAGUUUAAAGUUAGUACGUGAUCCUGACUGUCAGCAAUUACUUGAAGUCACAAAGACCUAAGAAGUGGUAUCCUGAAAAAAAUCAUAAACAGCAUUGCUUUUUGCUUGUUGGAGACUAGUAUAGUAUUGGAAUGCUGGAUAAUACACAGUGUAGGUAUUUUCAUAACCUGCCUACCACA
Long non-coding RNA from Myiozetetes cayanensis, 2442 nucleotides. RefSeq lists it as uncharacterized. Lineage: Eukaryota; Metazoa; Chordata; Aves; Passeriformes; Tyrannidae. The record is from RefSeq and is a predicted model, not a curated record. The transcript has 3 exons.